CAGCGCCGCGGGAAUACAGAGGGUGCGAGCGUUAAUCGGAUUUACUGGGCGUAAAGCGUGCGUAGGCGGCUUCUUAAGUCGGAUGUGAAAUCCCUGAGCUUAACUUAGGAAUUGCAUUCGAUACUGGGAAGCUAGAGUAUGGGAGAGGAUGGUAGAAUUCCAGGUGUAGCGGUGAAAUGCGUAGAGAUCUGGAGGAAUACCGAUGGCGAAGGCAGCCAUCUGGCCUAAUACUGACGCUGAGGUACGAAAGCAUGGGGAGCAAACAGGAUUAGAUACCCCAGUAGUCCCUGUCUCUUAUACA
Molecule: ribosomal RNA, 301 nt
Filed under: uncultured bacterium
Lineage: Bacteria
Description: partial 16S ribosomal RNA
Rfam family: Bacterial small subunit ribosomal RNA
Source: RNAcentral